ACUUCCCUGGGCCUGCUACCUGAGACCUGCUGCUUCCUCCCAGGCUUACUCUGCGGCUUCUUCCUGGACCCACCCGGUACCUGCACCUUCUCGUUGCCCAAGACCGGCCUCGCUGCUCCUGCCCUUCAGCCUCGGACCAUCAGAACGUCGUGCAACGGGACUACUGCCGGAUCCUGGUGCUCUCCUCCCUGCUGCUCGACUUGACUACACAUCUCACCUCAGCAUUAUGACCUGGUAUCCUUUCUACCAUCAAGAAACAACAUGAUGUUUAGCACCAGACCAACAUACAGCUUCUCUACAG
RNAcentral lists this long non-coding RNA (301 nucleotides) under Gallus gallus (chicken). RNAcentral's name for it is "lncRNA (ENSGALG00010007107.1)". The record is from RNAcentral. Lineage: Eukaryota; Metazoa; Chordata; Aves; Galliformes; Phasianidae.